Long non-coding RNA from Echinops telfairi (small Madagascar hedgehog), 1241 nucleotides. RefSeq lists it as uncharacterized. The record is from RefSeq and is a predicted model, not a curated record. The transcript has 5 exons. NCBI's taxonomy places the organism in Eukaryota, Metazoa, Chordata, Mammalia, Afrosoricida, Tenrecidae.
UCCGUUAGUGCGGUUCCCUGGGGGCUCCUGCGAAGCCUCUCACCCGAGGCACUGACGGGGGCGUAGUGAGAAAACCCAACAGAACCAACUCCCCAAACAGCCCCCUGCGACCGGUCACGUUAGGAUGACCAAACCACCGGGGGUGAGGGUGGGGGUGGGGAUGUGGAAGGGCUGACGGUGGAGAGGAGGCCGAGUCGCUGGGUGCUUUCGGGGUCACGGUGACAUGGUAGCUGGGCCGGGGGCCGAGGACCGUGCUCAGAAGCAGCGGCGGCGGCGCCCUCCAGGGUCCUCCGUCCUCAGUGGCUUCUGCUGCCUGCGAUGCCAGCCGGUCGACUGGCUUCCAGCCGUAACCUGGGCUCCCAACGCCUGUGGCUUUGGAAGCUAGAGCUUUCAGUGGUCUGGGGACUUUCUCUGGGGGCGCCGGCGGGAGGCUGCCCGACACCGGUCCCCUGUUUCCCGCAUGGAAAGUGAACUGGCUGUGCUUGUGCUGCGGAAUGCUUUAUCUUGCCCUUUUCGUAUUCCGAUAUGACACCAACGAUCGCCGGGUCGAUCGGGAACUUCCCUUUCCUCUUUGAAUCCGGAUUCCCCGAGGAAAUGCUUGUGCGACUGAGAGGCUUGGUAAUUCUGUUGGUGAUGAUUUAUAUUUCGGCUGUGAAGUCAAGCCGGCCCCCACCCCUUAUCUCUGAAACCGGCUGCCCUCCGUUGGGAAGAUGCCUGGCCUCCUCCCCCAGAAAUAGGAAAGUAGAGUGGAAAUUGAUUUCUUGCAGAGACUGAGGCGCCGAAAGAUACCGGGAAUAAACAUUUGCCCUGGAUCAAAAUGUUCUUGGCUGCAUUCCAGCUUGAUGCACUAAAGAAGUUUUCUUUCAGACCACUCGUGUUAUCCAGAGUGUGAUUUCUGUGCAUGUCUCUGGGUUUUCCUGAGGCUGAUCAGUGCUGCUGGGGGAUCUGAGGCCCACAUGAGCAGGCUGGUCUCAACUCCUUCACUUAACCUCUCACCCCUGGGAAAGCAUUCUGCAAAGAGAACACGCUCUCUAAGUAUUUAUUUAGUAGAUAAAUUUAAACAUCUGCCUAGAAUUUCUUUCCUUAACAUUCUUACCAAAGCUCUAUACAUUCACUUUUUACCCAGCAUUGUGAAACAUUGUUAUUAAAUUGCAUAAUUUCUCAAUAUAUUUGACUUGUGUUAUUUAUGUCCACUGCUUGUCCAAAUGAUGACACUUGCCAUUGUACUUGAUUUUAUAUUU